Molecule: unclassified non-coding RNA, 257 nt
Filed under: Hevea brasiliensis (rubber tree)
Lineage: Eukaryota; Viridiplantae; Streptophyta; Magnoliopsida; Malpighiales; Euphorbiaceae
Source: RNAcentral
AAGGACCAUUAGCUCUGAUACCAUUGUUACGUGAUUUGCCAACCACAGGAACACAGUAAUAGGAAGAACAAAGAAUAGAGAGAGAAUCAAUAGAAUUCAUAGAGAGAAGCACUUCUUCAUUGAUCUGUUAUCCAAGAUACAUCAUACAUAUAUUCUUUUAUUAUUUAUACAACUGGUAUUCAAAUGAUAUAAACGUUGGGACGUCCUCUACUUACGAUGCGCUACAUCGGAGGCCGGGUGUAGUGAGAAAUAUGCAA